Dermacentor andersoni is the source of this 1936-nucleotide long non-coding RNA. RefSeq lists it as uncharacterized. NCBI's taxonomy places the organism in Eukaryota, Metazoa, Arthropoda, Arachnida, Ixodida, Ixodidae. The record is from RefSeq and is a predicted model, not a curated record.
CAGCGACAGGAAUUGUGUACUGAUUCUUUACAGGAGCCUAGUUCGAUCGCGAUUAGAUUAUGGUGCUGUAGCAUAUCACUCUGCCGCACCGAGUGCGCUAAAUAAAGAUGGUAGAUCCCGUUCAUCAUCUGGGCAUCCGCCUGGCCACUGGUGCAUUUAGAACAAGCCCUGUCGAAAGUCUAUAUGUAAAGUCAGACGAGUGGUCACUCCAUUUUCAGAGAACGUAUUUUCUCAAAAUGCGCUCUAAUAAAGGAACAUCCGUGUUUCACAACCGUUAACGACUUGGCGUGUGAAACACUUUUUCGUAAUCGACCCUCUAUGAGACUUCCUUUGUCACUCCGUGCAAGAGAACUUAGCAAAGAAAUGGAUGUCCCAGCUAUAAACACAAAUAAAUUACAUGAAAUAAUCUCAGAUAUACAGUAGGGAUCACGGGGAGCAGCACGAAUGCUCGAUGCCUCAAAUUCAGAAUUCGACAAGUGCAAAAAGAUUUUACAAAGUGCAAAAAGAUGUUAGCUGUGAGAGCUUAAUAAGUUACUUCUAUAGAAUUGAUUCUUGGCAUCAGGUGACUGAAGACUUUUAACAUUUCAAGUGCUUGUAUUAUUGCUACUCCCAGAGACCAUUUAUCAACUGUGAUUACUUUCAAGUCGCUCAAUAAACUUGUCAUUACUUUGCACAUGACAUCACCAUUCACUCACAUGCAGACAACAAUGACAAAGACGGGAGAAUGGAUGAACUUGGUGUGAGGAGUUUUUACUUCCUUGGUCAUACAUUAAGAUGAAAUUUUCCACAAACUGUUCUACAGGGAUUCUAGGCUUCACAAUAUGGGGGAGCUGCUUUUCCACUUCAAUGAGAUAUGUCGAUAUUGUGCUCAUUCAGACUGGUGCAGCUGUCACAAUUAUUGCACUUGUAUUGAUUGUGUGCUUUGUGCUCAUAAUAGCAGGGCGCAUUCUCUGUGAUCCCAAUGGCUGUGGCCGACAGUGACUGCAAGUACACUCUCAUCGAUGUGGGAGCCGAGGGUCGCCUCAGUCAGGGUGGCACAUUCCAAAAUUCAGAGUUUGGACGUGCCCUCACUCAAGGAGAUUUGGAUAUCUCAUCGCUGAGUUUGCUUCCUGGCUCUGCAACAAAUGCACCAUAUGCCUUCGUAGGCUACGAGGCUUUUCAGCUGAGAGAGGAUUUUCUUCGUCCUUAUCCAGCCAAGCAGCUUGACGACGAAAGACGGUCUUCAACUAUAGGCUAACCGAGCAAGGCGCUGUGCAGAGAACGCAUUUGGGAUAACGGCGGCCAGAUGGAGAAUUCUGCUACGUACCAUUGUUAAGAAUGGCCAUACGGGAUGGCAACGUGCCAGCUUUCAGCCCGCUGCACGUGUUCCAAGCCCACCAGACAGGGAGCCCUUCCGAGAACUGCGGAUGACCGGCAGCCACGUGGCGCGCGGUCAGCUCAGGAAUGUGGUACUCCGCCGCGCCACCCGAGACGGAGCACAGUUCUACGAAGCCCUCGGUCGUUGACUCCGGAGCCUUUGUGUGUGUGGGCGUAAACGAUACUGCGGAACGGCGCCCCUCUGUCGUCGGCUCCAGACCUUCGCACCUGUGUGUUGGCGUGUGUGUGGGCGUAAACGAUACUGCGGAACGGCGGCAAGUUUACAAUGAUUGGACGAACCUUCCCGACCAUUCCUGCUCCGUCCACGCCGAACGAUGACGUCGAACUAUGACGUCAAGCGGAGAGCUUAUAAGCAGCGUUUGCCGGCUGCUAGAGUGUGCUCGUGUCGUGAUCGUUGUCGGGAGCUGAGUGCUCUGUCAUGCUAGAAAUGAACUAGUGAGCUGUGUGCUCGUAAACUGUUUGCUGUAUGUUAGUUUUGCGGGCUCCAUAUGGGAGUCGCGCUAGUCUGCCAAUGUAUCCUGCUUAAACUGUUAAUAUGUAAAUAAAUCCUGUUCACCGA